This 253-nucleotide ribosomal RNA is filed under the name uncultured bacterium. Its description in RNAcentral is "partial 16S ribosomal RNA". It matches the Rfam family "Bacterial small subunit ribosomal RNA", at positions 524 to 776 of the family's 1533-position model. The record is from RNAcentral.
UACGUAGGGUGCAAGCGUUGUCCGGAAUUAUUGGGCGUAAAGAGCUCGUAGGCGGUCUGUCACGUCGGGCGUGAAAAUCCAGGGCUUAACCCUGGACCUGCGUUCGAUACGGGCAGACUAGAGUUCGGUAGGGGAGACUGGAAUUCCUGGUGUAGCGGUGAAAUGCGUAGAUAUCAAGAGGAACACCUGAGGUGAAGACGGGUUGCUGGGCCAACACUGACGCUGAGGCGCGAAAGCCAGGGGAGCAAACGGG